Molecule: ribosomal RNA, 404 nt
Filed under: Actinomycetes bacterium
Lineage: Bacteria; Bacillati; Actinomycetota; Actinomycetes
Description: Actinobacteria bacterium partial 16S ribosomal RNA
Rfam family: Bacterial small subunit ribosomal RNA
Source: RNAcentral
UGGGGAAUAUUGGACAAUGGGCGCAAGCCUGAUCCAGCCAUGCCGCGUGAGUGAUGAAGGCCCUAGGGUGGUAAAGCGCUUUCACCGGUGAAGAUAAUGACGGUAACCGGAGAAGAAGCCCCGGCUAACUUCGUGCCAGCAGCCGCGGUAAUACGAAGGGGGCUAGCGUUGUUCGGAUUUACUGGGCGUAAAGCGCACGUAGGCGGACUUUUAAGUCAGGGGUGAAAUCCCGGGGCUCAACCCCGGAACUGCCUUUGAUACUGGAAGUCUUGAGUAUGGUAGAGGUGAGUGGAAUUCCGAGUGUAGAGGUGAAAUUCGUAGAUAUUCGGAGGAACACCAGUGGCGAAGGCGGCUCACUGGACCAUUACUGACGCUGAGGUGCGAAAGCGUGGGGAGCAAACAGG